This 367-nucleotide long non-coding RNA is filed under the name Mytilus galloprovincialis (Mediterranean mussel). The record is from RNAcentral. Lineage: Eukaryota; Metazoa; Mollusca; Bivalvia; Mytilida; Mytilidae.
GUAUAUUCAGAAUUACAACCAAUCGCUACGAUAAUUUUACGGACACACUUAUCGUUAUAGUAACGGACACACUUUCUGUGUCCGCGGACUUCCGGACUAUAUAAACGGUUGUAGCAGACGAUUCUAGACAGCUCAGCUCACAUUACCUUGACCAUUUUGAUAGAUAUACCAUUAUUACCAGAGCCUAUACCACUUGUGAACCAUUACCAGGUUAAUGCUAACCCCGAUUUUUAUGAUAUUUACGACCUGACAAGUGACCUAUAUUAUUUACUACAAUACUAUAAAUAGUAAAACCACUUUCCCAUGUUUACGCACGACGAUUAACAUCCAAGGGGGGCUCUGAACCGUUUUUGCUUUGGGAUAUUUA